RNAcentral lists this ribosomal RNA (352 nucleotides) under uncultured bacterium. RNAcentral describes it as "bacterial SSU rRNA". It matches the Rfam family "Bacterial small subunit ribosomal RNA", at positions 28 to 377 of the family's 1533-position model. The record is from RNAcentral.
GAUGAACGCUAGCGGCAGGCUUAAUACAUGCAAGUCGUGGGGCAGCGCAGGUAGCAAUACUGGGCGGCGACCGGCAAACGGGUGCGGAACACGUACACAACCUUCCGAGAAGUGGGGAAUAGCCCAGAGAAAUUUGGAUUAAUACCCCGUAACAUAACGAUGUGGCAUCACAUUGUUAUAUAGCUUCGGCGCUUCUUGAAUGGGGUGUGCGGCUGAUUAGAUAGUUGGCGGGGUAACGGCCCACCAAGUCUACGAUCAGUAGCUGAUGUGAGAGCAUGAUCAGCCACACGGGCACUGAGACACGGGCCCGAUCCUACGGGAGGCAGCAGUAAGGAAUAUUGGUCAAUGGACG